AACGAACGCUAUCGGUAUGCUUAACACAUGCAAGUCGGACGGACUAAUUAGGGCUUGCUCCAAUUAGUUAGUGGCAGACGGGUGAGUAACACGUGGGAAUCUGCCCAUCAGUACGGAAUAACUUUUAGAAAUAAAAGCUAAUACCGUAUAUUCUCUACAGAGGAAAGAUUUAUCGCUGAUGGAUGAGCCCGCGUCAGAUUAGUUAGUGGGUGAGGUAACGGCUCACCAAGCCGACGACCUGUAGCUGGUCUGAGAGGAGGAUCAGCCACACUGGGACUGAGACACGGCCCAGACUCCUACGGGAGGCAGCAGUGGGGAAUAUUGGACAAUGGGCGAAAGCCUGAUCCAGCAAUACCGAGGGAGUGAUAAAGGCCCUAGGGUUGUAAAGCUCUUUUAGCAAGGAAGAUAAUGACGGUACUUGCAGAAAAAGCCCCGGCUAACUCCGUG
Molecule: ribosomal RNA, 447 nt
Filed under: uncultured bacterium
Lineage: Bacteria
Description: partial 16S ribosomal RNA
Rfam family: Bacterial small subunit ribosomal RNA
Source: RNAcentral